UACGUAGGGUGCGAGCGUUAAUCGGAAUUACUGGGCGUAAAGCGUGCGCAGGCGGUUCGUUAAGUCAGAUGUGAAAGCCCCGAGCUCAACUUGGGAACUGCAUUUGAAACUGGCGGGCUGGAGUGUGGCAGAGGGGGGGUGGGAAUUCCACGUUGUAGCAGUGAAAAUGCGUAGAGAUGUGGAGGAACACCGAUGGCGAAGGCAGCCCCCUGGGUCAAGAUUGACGCUCAUGCACGAAAGCGUGGGGAGCAAACAGG
RNAcentral lists this ribosomal RNA (257 nucleotides) under uncultured bacterium. RNAcentral's name for it is "partial 16S ribosomal RNA". It matches the Rfam family "Bacterial small subunit ribosomal RNA", at positions 524 to 776 of the family's 1533-position model. The record is from RNAcentral.